Molecule: ribosomal RNA, 589 nt
Filed under: uncultured bacterium
Lineage: Bacteria
Description: bacterial SSU rRNA
Rfam family: Bacterial small subunit ribosomal RNA
Source: RNAcentral
ACGGGUGAGUAAUGCCUAGGAAUCUGCCUGGUAGUGGGGGACAGCGUUUCGAAAGGAACGCUAAUACCGCAUACGUCCUACGGGAGAAAGCAGGGGACCUUCGGGCCUUGCGCUAUCAGAUGAGCCUAGGUCGGAUUAGCUAGUUGGUGAGGUAAUGGCUCGCCAAGGCGACGAUCCGUAACUGGUCUGAGAGGAUGAUCAGUCACACUGGAACUGAGACACGGUCCAGACUCCUACGGGAGGCAGCAGUGGGGAAUAUUGGACAAUGGGCGAAAGCCUGAUCCAGCCAUGCCGCGUGUGUGAAGAAGGUCUUCGGAUUGUAAAGCACUUUAAGUUGGGAGGAAGGGUUGUAGAUUAAUACUCUGCAAUUUUGACGUUACCGACAGAAUAAGCACCGGCUAACUCUGUGCCAGCAGCCGCGGUAAUACAGAGGGUGCAAGCGUUAAUCGGAAUUACUGGGCGUAAAGCGCGCGUAGGUGGUUUGUUAAGUUGGAUGUGAAAUCCCCGGGCUCAACCUGGGAACUGCAUCCAAAACUGGCAAGCUAGAGUAUGGUAGAGGGUGGUGGAAUUUCCUGUGUAGCGGUGAAAU